RNAcentral lists this ribosomal RNA (650 nucleotides) under uncultured bacterium. Its description in RNAcentral is "bacterial SSU rRNA". It matches the Rfam family "Bacterial small subunit ribosomal RNA", at positions 867 to 1504 of the family's 1533-position model. The record is from RNAcentral.
UUCCGCCUGGGGAGUACGGUCGCAAGGAUUAAAACUUAAAGGAAUUGACCGGGGACCCGGCACAAGCGGUGGAUUAUGUGGUGUAAUUCGAAGCUACGCGCAAAACCUUACCGGGCUCUUGACAUGUGACGUUUAGGGACCCAGAGAUGGCCUCUUUCACUUCGGGUGGCGUCAACACAGGUGCUGCAUGGCUGUCGUCAGCUCGUGUUGUGAGAUGUUGGGUUAAGUCCUGCAACGAGCGCAACCCUCGUCGUUAGUUGCCAUCAGGUAAAGCUGGGCACUUUAACGAAACUGCCGGUGAUAAACCGGAGGAAGGUGAGGAUGACGUCAAGCCCUCAUGGUCCUUAUGGGCCGGGCUACACACGUAAUACAAUGGUAGUUACAGAGAGCUGCAAUGAUGUGAAAGUCGGAGCGAAUCUCUUAAAAGCUAUCUCAGUKCGGAUUGUCUCCUGCAACUCGGAGGCAUGAAGUCGGAAUCGCUAGUAAUCGCAGAUCAGCAUGCUGCGGUGAAUACGUUCUCGGGUCUUGUACACACUGUCCGUCAAACCAUGGGAGUUGGUUCUACUUUAAGUCGGUGCGCUAACCAGCAAUGGAGGCAGCCGACCACAGUGGGGUCGAUGACUGGGGUUAAGUCGUAACAGGUAACCGUA